AACGAACGCUGGCGGCAUGCCUAACACAUGCCAGUCGAACGAGACCUUCGGGUCUAGUGGCGCACGGGUGCGUAACGCGUGGGAACCUGCCCUUAGGUUCGGAAUAACUCCCCGAAAGGGGUGCUAAUACCGGAUAAUGUCUUCGGACCAAAGAUUUAUCGCCUUUGGAUGGGCCCGCGUUGGAUUAGCUAGUUGGUAGGGUAAAAGCCUACCAAGGCGACGAUCCAUAGCUGGUCUGAGAGGAUGAUCAGCCACACUGGGACUGAGACACGGCCCAGACUCCUACGGGAGGCAGCAGUGGGGAAUAUUGGACAAUGGGCGAAAGCCUGAUCCAGCAAUGCCGCGUGAGUGAUGAAGGCCUUAGGGUUGUAAAGCUCUUUUACCCGGGAUGAUAAUGACAGUACCGGGAGAAUAAGAUCCGGCUAACUCCGUG
Molecule: ribosomal RNA, 433 nt
Filed under: uncultured bacterium
Lineage: Bacteria
Description: partial 16S ribosomal RNA
Rfam family: Bacterial small subunit ribosomal RNA
Source: RNAcentral